RNAcentral lists this unclassified non-coding RNA (378 nucleotides) under plant metagenome. RNAcentral describes it as "partial contains 5.8S ribosomal RNA, internal transcribed spacer 2, and large subunit ribosomal RNA". The stretch from base 1 to 105 matches the Rfam family "5.8S ribosomal RNA", at positions 50 to 154 of the family's 154-position model. The record is from RNAcentral.
GAAAUGCGAUAAGUAAUGUGAAUUGCAGAAUUCAGUGAAUCAUCGAAUCUUUGAACGCACCUUGCGCUCCUUGGUAUUCCUUGGAGCAUGCCUGUUUGAGUAUCAUGAAAUCUUCAAAGUAAAUCUUUUGUUAACUCAAUUGGUUUCUACUGUGGUAUUGGAGGUCUUUGCAGCUUCACACCUGCUCCUCUUUGUUCAUUAGCUGGAUCUCAGUGUUAUGCUUGGUUCCACUCGGCGUGAUAAGUUAUCUAUCGCUGAGGACACUGUAAAAGGUGGCCAAGGUAAAUGCAGAUGAACCGCUUCUAAUAGUCCAUUGACUUGGACAAUACUUUUAUGAUCUGAUCUCAAAUCAGGUAGGACUACCCGCUGAACUUAAGC